Molecule: unclassified non-coding RNA, 240 nt
Filed under: soil metagenome
Description: partial contains 5.8S ribosomal RNA, internal transcribed spacer 2, and large subunit ribosomal RNA
Source: RNAcentral
AACUGAUACUACCUGCGGGAACCUGCGGAAGGAUCAUUACCGAGUUUUCAACUCCCAAACCCCAUGUGAACUUAUACCAUUUACAACCGUUGCUUCGGCGGGUUCUCGCCCCGGGCUUUACACCCCGGAACCAGGCGGCCCGCCGGGGGACCCAAACUCUAGAUUUAUAUUUUAGCAUGUCUGAGUGGAAUCAUUACAAAAUGAAUCAAAACUUUUAGCAACGGAUCUCUAGAUCGGAAG